UACAGAGGGUGCGAGCGUUGUCCGGAAUCACUGGGCGUAAAGGGCGCGUAGGCGGCUCGGUCAGCGUGCGGUGAAAGCCCGGGGCUCAACCCCGGGUCGGCCGUGCGAACUGCCGAGCUGGAGCACUGUAGAGGCAGGUGGAAUUCCGGGUGUAGCGGUGGAAUGCGUAGAGAUCCGGAAGAACACCGGUGGCGAAGGCGGCCUGCUGGGCAGUUGCUGACGCUGAGGCGCGACAGCGUGGGGAGCGAACAGG
RNAcentral lists this ribosomal RNA (253 nucleotides) under uncultured bacterium. Its description in RNAcentral is "partial 16S ribosomal RNA". It matches the Rfam family "Bacterial small subunit ribosomal RNA", at positions 524 to 776 of the family's 1533-position model. The record is from RNAcentral.